RNAcentral lists this ribosomal RNA (1479 nucleotides) under uncultured Bordetella sp. Its description in RNAcentral is "partial 16S-23S ribosomal RNA intergenic spacer". It matches the Rfam family "Bacterial small subunit ribosomal RNA". Lineage: Bacteria; Pseudomonadati; Pseudomonadota; Betaproteobacteria; Burkholderiales; Alcaligenaceae. The record is from RNAcentral.
GGUUUGAUUCUGGCUCAGAUUGAACGCUGGCGGGAUGCUUUACAAGAUGUCGAACGGCAGCACGGACUUCGGUCUGGUGGCGAGUGGCGAACGGAGUAACGGUAUCGGAACGUGCCUAGCGGGGAUAACGACAAGCGAAAGCGUAGCCAAUACCGCCACGCCCUUCGGGGGAAAGCGGGGACCUCGGGCCUCGGGCAAUGACAGAGCGGCCUAUCGGAUUAGCUAGUUGGUGGGGGCAACGGCUCACCAAGGCGACGAUCCGUAGCUAUUGGAGAGGACGACCAGCCACACUGGGACUGAGACACGGCCCAGACUCCUACGGGAGGCAGUGGGGAAACUCUGGACAAUGGGGGAAACCCCUGAUCCAGCCAUCCUGCAGGGGAUGAAGGCCUUCGGGUUGUAAAGCACUUUUGGCAGGAAAGAAACGGCACGGGAUACCUCAGCAACUGACGGUAUUUCCGCAGAAUAAGCACCGGCUAACCGUGCCAGCAGCCGCGGUAAUACGUAGGGCAAACGUUAAUCGGAAUUACUGGGCGCAAGUGCGCAGGCGGUUCUGGAGGCAGCAUACGGGGAAUCCUGAGCCAUGAAUUUUGAACCGUACUUAACUACCGAGUUAGAGUGUGUCAGAGUGGGAGGGUAAAUUCCGUGUAGCAGUGAAAGGCAGAUAUGCGGAGGAACACCGAUGGCGAAGGCAGCCUCCUGGGAUAACACUGACGCCCAUGCACGAAAGCGUGGGGAUGCAAACAGGAUUAGAUACUCCUGGUAGUCCACGCCUUUUAACGAUGCCAACUAGCUGUUGGGGCCUCGGGCCUGGUAGCGCAGCUAAUCGCGUGAAGUUGACCGCCUGGGGAGUGAAGACGGUCGUGGGGAAGAUUUAAACCUGGGGGUGAAUUGAUGACCCGCACAAGCGGUGGAUGAUGUGGAUUAAUUGAUGCAACGCGAAAAACUCAUCACCCUUGAUACGUGGUCUGGAAUCCUGAAGAGAUUUGGGAGUGCUCAGAGAACUGGAACACAGGUGCUGCAUGGCUGUCGUCAGCUCGUGCUGCAGAUGGCUGGGUUAAGUCCCGCAACGAGCGCAACCCUUGUCAUUAGUUGAGCAAUACGAAAGGGCACUUUCGGAUGAGACUGCCGGUGACGCAAACCGGAGGAAGGUGGGGACGACGUCAAGUCCUCAUGGCCCUUAUGGGUAGGGCUUCACACGUCAUACAAUGGUCGGGACAGGGAGGGUCGCCAACCCGCGAGGGGGAACCAACCAGAAACGAUCGUAGUCCGAUCGCAGUCUGCAACUCGACUGCGUGAAGUCGGAAUCGCUAGUAAUCGCGGAUCAGCAGAUGUCGCGGUGAACACGUUCCCGGGUCUUGUACACACCGCCCGUCACACCAUGGGAGUGGGUUUUACCAGAAGUAGUUAUUAGCCUAACCGUAUGAGGGCGAUUACCACGGUAGAUUCAUGACUGGUGAAGUCGUAACGCUUAUAACU